RNAcentral lists this long non-coding RNA (2487 nucleotides) under Daphnia pulicaria. Its description in RNAcentral is "uncharacterized LOC124338367, transcript variant X2". Lineage: Eukaryota; Metazoa; Arthropoda; Branchiopoda; Diplostraca; Daphniidae. The record is from RNAcentral.
UUGGUUGCAUUUUUCUCGUUUUUAAUAUCUACUCGUUUUGCUUAAUUUAUUUGUUGUUUUUGUUUUCACUGUUGGAUCGUUCAGUACAACAUUUAAGCUAAAGAGUAAAACGAUAUGAUGAUUUCGGAUAAGUAAACUAGACCUGGCAAGCGACUUUGAUUCCUUUAAAUAAUGGUGGGGGUGUUUUGGACGUUUGUUCCGAUUGAAUUUUGGAAUUUUUAACGUGAAUAGCGUCACCGCUAGAUGGUGGAUAGCUCGACUGGAAUUUGGGGGGAAGGGCGAAGGGGCAUGAAAGGUUCGUGUUCGUUUGCUUUCUGCUUGAUGGAAAUCUUGUAGUACUUGAAACAUGAGUGAUUGAGUGAGGCAAAGGCAAGCCAGUUAUUUUAUACUUUUCUGAGAAAAUCGUGAAUAGCUAAAUGUGCAUUGUGACAGAUUCUGUAGAAGAUAGAGUGGCUGUCUCUGGCUGUCAAGAUGGACCUUGAUUUACAGUAAAUUGGUGUAAAGAACAGGAGGAGAAACAAUGGAGAUCACACUUGAAUGAAAAGGAAUUACUUCAGGCUUCCAAAUGUGUUGAACAUGAUUUAUAGUUUGUGACCUUGAACACAUUCACUUUUGAAAAUUGGCGGAAUUCAACCUCAACAAUAAAGUAUGGGAAGUUGUUGCCAAGGAGAAAAUUGAACUCAAGUUCCUGUCGAUAAGUUCAACUCCCCUGGUAGUCAAAUCAAUGCUGCCAAGCAAAAUGGAGCCCGAGGAGCUCCAUACAAUUUUGGAACCUGAUAUGGGCAGUUCCCUUUGCAGAGGCAAUAACAGAAACAGAAUUCUCUGAAAUGGAUGUCUUAUCAAACUGGUAUUAGAGAAUACAGUCUCUCACUAGUUAACUGUAUAGCUCAACGCCCAGGCGAAUGGAUACUAGCCUAAACAUUGCAAUUCCGCCACGUUAUCGCCCUUUUUCGCCUACUAGAAGAUGAAGACAAUUCCGAUACAGACACUGCCUUAUCUCUCAGACCGAGUCCGCCGCUAAGGCAGCGAAUCGUUGGCGACUGUCGAGUCCCAUUCGUUCACUUCGGGGCGUGGAGCAGCGAUUGAGGCUUUUGUGGAGCGAGUAUGUGUUUCAGGUGGUUAAUGUGCACUUCAACAAUAUUGGGGUGACGUUUGCUCAAGCAGCAACACUCCCAGCUCUCAACAGCCAGGAGCGCCGGAUAGCGGAGGCUGGUUAUCGUCUCUGGCUCUCGACCGUUGUGGAAAGUGUCACCAGUUUCUCUUUUCCCGCACGGAAUCGAUUCUUCUGAUUGGGUCGAUCUACUACGCAACAACGACCAACAACAUCAGUAGCCUGUAGUAACGUUAGAAAACUUCCAGGAACUCCACCCAGACCUGAACCUUUGGCUGUUUCCGAUUGGUAGACCACGCAAUCUCCAGCCACUUUGGAGAUUUUUCUCGCGUGUCGGACAUGUCAUGGGAGAAGGAACUACUUUCUCCGAGGCACCUGGUAGAGAAAUUUCGUACUACCUCAUGCAAACUCAUUUCCUCUGUCGUCUGCUAUCUUCAAGCGUGGCCGUGGCUUUCAAGUUUCAACAUGGUGGUACGAUCACUCUCGUUCGUGUUCUUUUGUGGAUAUUAAAAAUGCUUCCUCAUACUGAUGUUUUGGUUUUGGAGUGGUGGUGUCGUGGAGAUCUUGUUGCCUGAUCUUGUCUUGGAUCAUUUUGGUCACAUUUUCCCAGGAAACUGGAUCGGGAAUAUGGAGGGCCUAAAGAAAGCAUCCAGGUGAGCCAAAUUGGCAUGACUCCUGAUUGAUGGUCUGCAGAUGAGCGGCAACUUUGUCCCGUUGGAUGUUGGCUGGUUGCCAUGAUUGAAGCCGAAGUCUAGUGGCAGUUUUUGGACGCCGCCCAUGGAAAGAAGAAUUCUUCCUUUACCAAUUUCAUGGCACUAUACUUGGAUUUUAGCAUUGCCUACAUUCAAGCAGUGUCCUCAACAUCGGCUGCGUUGACUGAAUGGGUGUGGUUGACCGCCAUGUUUUGUAGUCGAAUGGCAUCGUCCGUUUGUACCUGAUGUCAGUGAGGUUCCACGACGAGAAAGAGACGCCGAUUAAAUGAGUGUUGCUAUGCAGGAGGCGGGGACGUAUUUCAUCCGGAAAAGGGCACCGGGAGUUUGAACCUGUUCCAGUCAAGUGCCACGACGAGAAGCCAUGCAACUCCGAUGAAAGAUUAGCAGUUGCUAUUUUCCCUUUGUUUUUAUCAUUUUGAUUGCCGAUUGUCGACUGGUUGUCGACUCUACUGCUGACGCCUGUCUUUUUGGGUCCAUCGAAGCCUUUCAGCACUUUUUAAAGGCGGACGUUUGUUUUUUAAUUUGUUUCUCAGAUUAUUUUCUUAAACCCGCCCGUGGUAUGGAAUUGGCAUGGCCUCUCUCUGUUCUAAUUUUUGACUCUUUAUCAAUGUCGUUGACUGGUGUUGGUUAAUAAGAUUAAGGCUUGCCCUUUUGGGAUAAGUA